Molecule: ribosomal RNA, 471 nt
Filed under: Terrahaemophilus aromaticivorans
Lineage: Bacteria; Pseudomonadati; Pseudomonadota; Gammaproteobacteria; Pasteurellales; Pasteurellaceae
Description: bacterial SSU rRNA
Rfam family: Bacterial small subunit ribosomal RNA
Source: RNAcentral
ACGCUGGCGGCAGGCUUAACACAUGCAAGUCGAACGGUAACAUAAAGAAGCUUGCUUCUUUGAUGACGAGUGGCGGACGGGUGAGUAAUGCUUGGGAAUCUAGCUUAUGGAGGGGGAUAACUAUGGGGAAACUGUGGCUAAUACCGCGUAGAAUCGAGAGAUGAAAGUGUGGGACCUUCGGGCCACAUGCCAUAGGAUGAGCCCAAGUGGGAUUAGGUAGUUGGUGAGGUAAAGGCUCACCAAGCCGACGAUCUCUAGCUGGUCUGAGAGGAUGACCAGCCACACUGGGACUGAGACACGGCCCAGACUCCUACGGGAGGCAGCAGUGGGGAAUAUUGCGCAAUGGGGGCAACCCUGACGCAGCCAUGCCGCGUGAAUGAAGAAGGCCUUCGGGUUGUAAAGUUCUUUCGGUAGCGAGGAAGGCAUUUAGUUUAAUAGACUAGGUGAUUGAACGUUAACUACAGAAGAAGC